GACAGCAGCAGCCGCGGGAAUACGUAGGGUGCAAGCGUUAAUCGGAUUUACUGGGCGUAAAGCGUGCGUAGGCGGCUUCUUAAGUCGGAUGUGAAAUCCCUGAGCUUAACUUAGGAAUUGCAUUCGAUACUGGGAAGCUAGAGUAUGGGAGAGGAUGGUAGAAUUCCAGGUGUAGCGGUGAAAUGCGUAGAGAUCUGGAGGAAUACCGAUGGCGAAGGCAGCCAUCUGGCCUAAUACUGACGCUGAGGUACGAAAGCAUGGGGAGCAAACAGGAUUAGAUACCCCAGUAGUCCCUGUCUCUUAUAC
This 306-nucleotide ribosomal RNA is filed under the name uncultured bacterium. RNAcentral's name for it is "partial 16S ribosomal RNA". It matches the Rfam family "Bacterial small subunit ribosomal RNA", at positions 507 to 807 of the family's 1533-position model. The record is from RNAcentral.